RNAcentral lists this long non-coding RNA (329 nucleotides) under Eucalyptus grandis. RNAcentral's name for it is "long non-coding RNA (EGRA_LNC007406)". The record is from RNAcentral. Lineage: Eukaryota; Viridiplantae; Streptophyta; Magnoliopsida; Myrtales; Myrtaceae.
GACAUUGGAAGUGGUUGGUUCUACGAGAUCACCAAGAAAGAGGAAAAUCAAUUAGAAGUAGCUGUUUAAAAAGUUGGGAGCAUGAUAUGUUCUAUUACUUUUUGUUGGUAUGAUACUCUCGAAUUUAAGAUCAAGAGAUGGAAUUUGUUGUUUGUAUUUUCUGCAAGUAUUUAAGAUGUGGGAAUGGAACUGUUAAGGCCGCAAGCACUCUGGGCAACAGUUUUCUGUGCUUUGGAGUACAAUUGAUGUUUGAAAAGAAGUGCAGUUGGCCUUAUGUUCGCCUAAUCUGUUGUUUAUAGACAAGGCUCUGUCGUCAAUAACAAGCCAAG